RNAcentral lists this transfer RNA (70 nucleotides) under Ctenophorus pictus. Its description in RNAcentral is "tRNA-Ile". Lineage: Eukaryota; Metazoa; Chordata; Lepidosauria; Squamata; Agamidae. The record is from RNAcentral.
GGAAGUGUGCCUGAAACCAUAAGGGCUACUUUGAUAAAGUACACAUGGAACCACAACAUUCCCACUUCCC